AUUUUACAAGUGUCUGCUUCAUUCAGUCAAGCAAGAGUUAACUGCUGAAGUCACAUGCCUGGAAUCACAGGAGCUUCUGGAAAAUCUCUCUGCUGCUUCUUUCAGCAAAAAAAGGACAGGCAGACACACAGGCACAGAUAGACUGCACAGACACCCAGCCUGAGAACUUGCAUGGAUGGAGUUUGCUGUUCCUACAUUUAGUUUAAAUUCAUUUGUUAUCUGCUUGCUGUUUGGAUUGGUUGAAAGAAUGGAUUCUGCUGAGCAAUAGAAGAUUGCUUCAUCUAGAAGGACAUGAUCUGACAUAUGGGUGACAUGCCUGUUUAUGGUAUAAAGCUAAUAAAGAUUUUAAUAAU
Molecule: long non-coding RNA, 353 nt
Organism: Sphaerodactylus townsendi
Lineage: Eukaryota; Metazoa; Chordata; Lepidosauria; Squamata; Sphaerodactylidae
Exons: 2
Source: RefSeq, a predicted model, not a curated record